AAUCGAUAAACCCAAAAAUCGUCUUAUUGUUAGACACUUUAACACGAACUCGAUCGAAAUUUCCUCCACUUAAGCAAAGACUCGAACUUGAACAGAGCCUCAAUCGGAAUUGGGUUUAAGUUUCUUCGGAAUUUCUCUGCGUCUUCGAAAACGGAAUUCGUCGGAACUGUUCUGCGUUUCUCGAAGACAGUUUUUGAUUUUAUUUUAAGUUUUAAAAUUAUUUACUUACGUCUUUUGAAAUAAUUUUAAAUAUUUAAAAU
This 260-nucleotide small RNA is filed under the name Arabidopsis thaliana (thale cress). RNAcentral describes it as "ATSL086040". The record is from RNAcentral. Lineage: Eukaryota; Viridiplantae; Streptophyta; Magnoliopsida; Brassicales; Brassicaceae.